Molecule: transfer RNA, 72 nt
Filed under: Bos taurus (domestic cattle)
Lineage: Eukaryota; Metazoa; Chordata; Mammalia; Artiodactyla; Bovidae
Also listed under: 5 other names
Rfam family: tRNA
About the family: Transfer RNA (tRNA) molecules are approximately 80 nucleotides in length.
Source: Rfam by way of RNAcentral
UCCCUGGUGGUUCAGAUGGUAAAACAUCUGCCUGCAGUGCAGGAGGCCUGGGUUUGAUCCCAGGAUUGGGAA